CGGUAAUUCCAGCUCCAAUAGCGUAUAUUAAAAUUGUUGCAGUUAAAACGCUCGUAGUUGAAUAUCUGGUGUGAAAGGCCGGUCCGCUUCGGUGUGCACCGCGUUCUUAUCACGGCAUCCGUUUGCAAAGUUCUUUUGCAAACCGUUCACUUUGAGGAAAUUAGAGUGUUCAAAGCAGGCAAUAGCCUUGAAUACUUCAGCAUGGAAUGAUUGUUAGGACAUCCGUCCUAUCAGUUGGUUCUAGGGGCGAAUGUAAUGAUUAAUAGGGUCGGUCGGGGGCAUUCGUAUUGAACAGCUAGAGGUGAAAUUCUUAGAUUUGUUCAAGACGACCUACUGCGAAAGCAUUUGCCAAGGACGUACCCAUUAAUCAAGAACGAAAGUUAGGGGAUCGAAGACGAUCAGAUACCGUCGUAGUCUUAACUAUAAACUAUGCCGACUUGAGAUUGGAGGUUGUCCUAUGGACUCCUUCAGCAUCUUCAGAGAAAUCCAAGUCUUUGGGUUCUGGGGGGAGUAUGGUCGCAAGGCUGAAACUUAAAGGAAUUGACGGAAGGGCACCACCAGGAGUGGAGCCUGCGGCUUAAUUUGACUCAACACGGGGAAACUCACCAGGUCCAGACAUGGGCAGGAUUGACAGAUUGAUAGCUCUUUCUUGAUUCUAUGGGUGGUGGUGCAUGGCCGUUCCUAGUUCGUGGACUGAUUUGUCUGGUUGAUUCCGAUAACGAGCGAGAUCUUAACCUGCUAACUAGGGCUCUCAAAUUCGUUUGAGUUGACUCUUCUUAGAGGGACUUUGUGUGUUCUAACACAAGGAGGUUUGAGGCAAUAACAGGUCUGUGAUGCCCUUAGAUGUUCUGGGCUGCACGCGCGCUACACUGACAUACGCAACGAGUUUCCUGCACCGACAGGUGUGGGUAAUCAUCUGAGUGUAUGUCGUGAUGGGGAUAGAGUAUUGUAAUUAUUGCUCUUGAACGAGGAAUUCCUAGUAAGCGCAAGUCANGACUUGCGCUGAUUACGUCCCUGCCCUUUGUACACACCGCCCGUCGCUCCUACCGAUGGGGUGAUCCGGUGAAUGAUUCGGACUUUGGCGUUUCUAGCAACUAGUUAAUGCUGGGGGAAGUUUUGUGAACCUUAUCACUUGGAGGAAGGAGAAGUCGUAACAAGG
This 1159-nucleotide ribosomal RNA is filed under the name uncultured eukaryote. RNAcentral's name for it is "bacterial SSU rRNA". It matches the Rfam family "Eukaryotic small subunit ribosomal RNA", at positions 577 to 1799 of the family's 1831-position model. The record is from RNAcentral.